This 5703-nucleotide long non-coding RNA is filed under the name Vitis vinifera (wine grape). RNAcentral describes it as "long non-coding RNA (VVIN_LNC003676)". The record is from RNAcentral. Lineage: Eukaryota; Viridiplantae; Streptophyta; Magnoliopsida; Vitales; Vitaceae.
UUUUUUUUUUUUUUUUUCCUUUUCCAAUGCAUGUUAUACCAUAGGGUUUUUUUUCCCUGCAAGCCUACAAUUUCUCUCUCUCUCUCUCUCUCUCUUCAAUUAUAGGCAUGCACAACCACAAAACCAUUUUUUUUUUCACAUCUAAGAUCUAAGAUUUAUUUUUCUUCUAUUUAUUUUUAAUUUCAUUAUUUAGAAAACUACUCAUUUGAAUAUUCAGAAUUUCCCUAUCCAUCAAUAAAUCAAUUUAUGAUAAUAAAUUUCCAAUCUUUUUAAUCUAAAAUAAAUAAAUAAAUAACCUUAAUCUAGAUUGAAAUAUUCUAAAGAAUUUUUAAAACCUUCAAAACUAAUUAACGAAUCUAAAAUACUAAUCUAAGGAUUAGAAUCUUAUUUAGAAAUAUGAUCUUUAAUCCUAAAAUCUUCAUUCAUACAUUGCCCUAAGUUCUCUAAUCUCUUUAACAUAGAGAAGACAAAAAAAAUCUAGGGCUUUUAAAAGCAAAAAGACCUUUGUACCCUUAAUAAAUUUAUUCAAUUUUUUUUAAUUUACUAUUUUACCCCACAAAAUUAAUUUUAGGUGUUACAGUUGAGCUUUUAUAGGAAGCAAGAACCUUUUGGAACCCCUAAAGACAUUUACACAUCUCUAUUAGAGGAAAUAAACAAGGACCGAUUAUUAAAUCAGAAAAGUUACCGAUUCACGGUUCACUAGUCCGACUAGUGGUCGAAUCGAUGAUAUCAUAAAUAUAUAAUUUAUAUUUUAUUAAAAUUUAAAAAUAAUUUUAAGAAAUUAAUAUAAUAUUAAAAUGAUAGCAUUUAAGUUUUUUGUAUUUGACAUGCCUAUUAAAUGAUAAAUAUAAAUAUAAAUGUAUUAAUAUAUCAAAUUUUAUUAAAUAAAAUAUGUAUAAUAUUUACAUGUGAGAAGAAAAUUAUAACAUUUAAUUUUAUCUACAUAUCUAUGCAUUUUAUUAUUUUUAAUUUUUAAAAAUAUUAUAUUAAUUAAUUUAUAUUAUUUUGAUAUUUAUUGUUAAUAAUUAUUAUAAAAAUAAACAUGAAUAUAAAUAUUUAUAUUUGUUUAAAUGUUUUAUAUUAUAAAAUUUGCAAAGAGCAUUAAUAUAAAAUAUUGUUACCUAUAUCUAUCAAAGGAAUUAUGCAAUAUAAUGGUUGGCUCUUUCUUUUCUAAACUUUAGAUCCGAUAUUCAAAUCCCACAUCCCACAUAAAAAACUCACAAAUUUAAUGAGUUCUAUAAAUAACCUGCACCUAAAGGAAUGGGGUAAGCUGCUCAAUGGGUUGUCAGUGGGUGGGAAGAUUGUAGGCCCAAUGCGAGAACGAUUCAAUCAUUGGUCCAUCCAGUUCAAUGUCGGUCCAAAGCCCCUCGGAUCAUGGUCCAGUUGAUGGUUCAAUCGGUUGAAUUGGCUGAUCCAGUCUAGUUUUUAAAUCAUUGGAAAUAAACUUUUAUAAAGAGCAAAAGCUUAUAGAAUGCUUGAACACAUCUACACAUCUACACAUAUCUAUUAGUGGAGAAGUGUAGAAGAUUCAAGAAAAACUUGGAGACAUCUGCAAAUGAAAGAUGGUGGAGAAGUAUGAAACAUUAUGGACCGUAAUUUUACAGAAGUUUCGAGAUAUCCACACAUCUCCACACAUGAUUAAUUUAAAAAGGGAUUGUUUGUUAUAGCUCAUAAUUAUAGGUGUUUACAAAUAUCUAAAUAACACACUUUUUUCUUAUUCUAUAAAUCCUAUAUAAAUUAAAGUUCUAAAUGAUUUUAAAUUAUUAGAUUAAUAAAUAUAAUUACUCUCGUGUACUUCCAUUUUUCAUUUCUUAUUUUUUUUAGGAAAGAUGUGUUAACCUUCUUGCUUACCAUACAACAAAAAUAAAUCACAAAAAAUUAAAUUUAAAUACAAGCAAAGUAUAUAUUUUUGCAAAAAAAUAAAAAAUAAAAAAUAAUUUAAUAAGAAAACUAAUAGCUCUAAUCCAAUGCUACCUCUUAUUCUUGAGAAAAAAAGUAUAGGAAAGAAGGAAAAACUUUGAAUCUAAGGUCAAGUUUAAUUGAAUCAAUAAAGAUUAUAAUUUUUCCAUUUUUUUAAUUACAAUUUCCCCAUAAUCAGACAAGAUCCAAAUGAAUGAACCUAAAAAAUAUCAGAUCUAGAAUAAUCAUGAAGAAUCGACGUCAAACAUGAAGAAUCAACAUUAAAAAUUAAUUCUCUAAAACAAAGAAUCUAUGCAAUGAUAAAAUAAAAAUUUUAAAACUAAAAAAGAACAAAAAAAAAAAAAAAAAGAAAUGUCCACUCAACCUAUUCAUUAUCAAACAAUUAUAAUAAGAAAAUCUACAUACCUUUGAGGGCAUAAAAUAUUUAUGCCACCUUCAACGAGAAUUUUUCAUCAUUUUUCAUUGACCACAUGUCCUCCAUUUUACAAAUAUUAUAAAAAAAUAAGAAUGAUAAAUAAUAGGAAAAGUAGAAGCAUAUUAGAAUUUAAUGGAAUGAACGUAUUUAAGAGAUGGUAUAAUGAAAUGAAAAGAUUGACUUUACAAUUUCAUUUGCUAAUCUUUGUUGUUUUUUUAUAAUUAAAAUAGAAGUUAAUGGUUCGUAAUAGUUUCUAUACUUAUAAAAUGGUGACAAUACUCGAGUAUAAUUUUAACGUAAAAUAAUUAAGUAAAUAAUAACAUUAGAAUCCAACACCAAUUUAAAAGCAAUUUUUAUUGAUAUAAUUUAUUUUUAAGAAGCUUUUUAUUGAGUAAAUUAAUGAGAACAUAAAUUAUUAUCAAAUUUUUUUAGAGAAAAACUAAAUAAAAGGAGAAAAAUUAUACAAAUCUUUAUUGAAUAUAUGAAAAGUAUUAUUAUUAUAGAAUAGAAUAAACAUUAAAGCAAAGUAUUAUUAUUAUAGAAUAGACUAAACAUUAAAGAGGGUUUUUUGCUUAAAAUUUGGAUUCUAGAACAUAAAUUGUGUUUUAAAUUUACAUUAAAAAAUCAAAUUAAACAAUGGAUAUUUGUAUCUUUUUUUGCUUUUAAGAAGUAAAAGAAAAUAAUUUUUUACAGAGUAAAUUAAUUAAUUAAUUAAAAUGAAACAAAAAAUAUUAUCAUUUUUUUAGAGAAGAGAAAUAUUAUUAUCCCGAAACAUUAUUUUUUUAAAACUAAAUUAUGAUAAUUUUUUAAAAGAGAAAUAUUAUCUAAAUUAGUUUUUAGUUUGUUUUUUUUUUUUUAUGUUUACAUAUAAAAUAAAAUUAUCUAUUUUUUUCAUACAAAAAUUUUGAAAAUAAUAUAUAAAUUUUCAUGUUAAAAUUAUUUUAAUUAAAUUAUGAUAAUUUUUAAAGACAAACAUCAUCUAAACCAAUUUUUAGGUUGUCUUGAAAAAAGAUAAAUGAAUUAGUUAAAUAAAAUAUGAUAGAAUACAAACGCAUAUAAGUGAGUUGAUAAUUGCUCUCGCUCUUUUAUAUUGAUAAUAAUAUAUACUUUUUCAUGUUAAAAUUAUUUUAAUUAAAUUAUGAUAAUUUUUAAAGAUAAACAUUAACUAAACCAAUUUUUAAGUUGUUUUUAAAAAAGAGAAAUAAAUAAAUUAUAUAAAAUAAUGAUAGGAUACAAGUGCAUAUAAGUGAGUUGAUAUGGUCAUUUUAGGAAAAAAAAGGUUGACAUUUGACAAACACUUCACUCUUUUAUAUAUAAUAUAAAUUUAGAUUACUUUUUAACUCAUUUUAGUUAUUUUUUUUAUAUUAAGCUUAAAUAAUUUUAAAAUAUAUAAAUUUUUAAUAAUAUUAAUUAUACUUUAUUGUCUAUUGUAUUUUAUAAAAUAAAAUCAAAUAUAUAAAAAAAAAUUUGAACAUUUCUUUUCUUACUUCUUAGAAUGUGACAUAACCUCAUGCUUUGGGCAUUGAGCAUCACCCUCUAAAAUAAUCUAAUGGGAGAGAAGAAGGGCUUUAGGCAUGGAUGAUAAAAAAUGGGCUGAGUGCUAGAAAAAAAAAUAUAUACUAAAGAUUAGAUAGAGAAGAAUUGGGAUAGGCUGACCUUCUAGAUGUGUACAACAACCACUGGGCUAAGGUUUGGUGAGGGGUGGGUGGGGGUCAGGGUUAAGUAACCCAACAUGAAAUUGCUUUAACCUGCUUAAACUUUGUGGUGAUAAGAUAGGGUAAGAUCAGAUGAUGAGGUUAGUACAAUUUCCAAUCGUCACUCUCUAAUAAUGAUGUUGCUUAUACAAACAAACACAAUUCAUGGUGGGUUUCACUUUCACCCUCUCAAACACAUCACUUGCUUCACCCCCUCCAUGUCUUGCAACUUCAAUCAUUUAAGGCAUGCAAGUCCCAACACUAAUCCCACUGCUUUUCUUUUCUUGUCUACCCUCCUCUUACUCUCUGGCCCAAAGUGUUCUGAGCCACAUUUGGGUUUGAAAAAGAAUAAUUAAAAAAAAAAAACAAAAGGAAAAAAAAAAAAAAAACAAGGGACUUACCGGUAGAAAGAGUCACAUUUGUGGUAACAGUAGCUAUUUUCAAAAAAUAUUUUUUUGUUUUUUGAAAUAUUUCUAAAUUAAAAAAAGCAAAAAAGAAAAGAAAAAUCCCCCUCACUUUUUAUUUCUCAAAGUUCAUGUGGUAAAGAUUUGAGUGGGACACCUGCCUCAUCGCUUGCUUUGUUUUUUGGCGCCUCAAAGGAAAGGUGGGGAGUGGGGUUGAGUAAUGUAACUGUGGAACAUGUCUUUUCACCAGAGAGGACCAAAUUUGUCGCUUCUACUGGCAUUGUGAAAUCAAACUCUAUUUUAAUCUGAUUCCCAAAUAGAAAAAAAUAAUGUUCCUUUCCUCUGCUUUGCAUGCUUCUCACUUCUCGCUCUAAAGAAUAGCCAGACAAAAUAAUAAAUUACCCUUACCCUCCUCCACGCAACAUGACAGUACGGUAAUUUGGUAAUGGUAAAUUUUGAUUUUCAACCAUAUUAUAUAAUUUUAUAUCAAAGUUUAAAUAUUGCACAUGUGUAACGUGGAGAAAAAUCAACCCAUUUAUUUCAAAGAAUGAAACUAUUUCUACGUAACGAAAUUCAAUAAUUUAAGAUUUUUUUGUAAAAAGAACAAAACUUCGGUCCACCCGUCCUGAGAACGAGAGUGAUUGGUUGUGGGUUGUUGUUUUGUCAUUUACAUCUUUGCCUGAAGAGAAGAAAACAAAUGAUUUUAUUUUUAUUUACAAUAAAAAAAAGGGGGGCAAAGGAGAAGGCAAAGGAAAGGGUUCACGCGGACGAAGGUGUGUGGAUGUUGGUGAGCCACCCCGUCGCCAGCUGGCCUGUCGGAGCUCCCCCUCCUCUUCUCUUCGCGCAAAGCACGUGACUCACACCUCACCUCUCACUUCUCCCUUUCUCUACCUCUAAAAGCCCAUCGCUUUCUCCCUUCAAAAACAUUUCACCCUCAGAACCCCCACCAAAAAAAAGAAAAAAGGAAAAAAAGAAAAAAAGAAAACAAGAAAAAAAUAAAUCCCCCCAAUCUUUCUCUCUCUAAAAUCAAAUACCACUUCUCUAUGUAGAAACUGUUCUCUGGAGAUGUUGGAGGAGAGUUGAGAUUCAAAUGUUAUUGCUCGGUAGCGGAGGAGGACUGGUGGGCGAUUCAGGUGUUCGGAUCUGCUGGUGGUAAGCCUUCUUGUUGUUUUCCUUUUGUGUUGAUCCGCGUUUGGCUCUCGAGAAAAACGAGGAAGAUGAGUGGAGAUGGACAGUUUUCAUUGUUUUACUUUUUCGUUGCGGAGAGAUU